RNAcentral lists this ribosomal RNA (614 nucleotides) under Steinernema feltiae. RNAcentral's name for it is "partial large subunit ribosomal RNA". It matches the Rfam family "Eukaryotic large subunit ribosomal RNA", at positions 131 to 755 of the family's 3401-position model. Lineage: Eukaryota; Metazoa; Nematoda; Chromadorea; Rhabditida; Steinernematidae. The record is from RNAcentral.
GUUGACACGGUAUUGUGACGUAUAGAGGUGAUCAUGUGCGGUUUGCUGGCUUUACGAAUUUCCUUUGACUAGGAAUCCAUAGCGGGUGCAAGACCCGUACGUAUUGCUGGUUUUUCGUACGCGUUUAUCUCUUGGAGUAGGGUUGUUUGAGAUCGCAGCCCUAAGUAGGUGGUAUACUUCAUCUAAAGCUAAAUACGACUACGAAUCCGAUAGCAAACAAGUACCGUGAGGGAAAGUUGCAAAGUACUUUGAAGAGAGAGUUCAAGAGGACGUGAAACCGAUAGGAUGGAAGCAGAUGAAGUUGACGAACGUGUGUCGUAUUCAAAAUCGCUGUCAGCGGUUUGUUUUUACGGCCGAUGUGGGCCGGCGGCUUUGGUCAAUGCAAUGCGUCUAGCGUCGAUGGUGACCCUGCGGAGGGACAAUCAGUCGGCGUACGGUGCUUGGUAUGGCUAAGGUUUCGCCGGUCUUAAAGUCAGCGCCUCAUCUGACCCGUCUUGAAACACGGACCAAGGAGUGUAGCGUUUGCGCAAGUCUUAGAGUGUAUCGAAACUUUGAGGCGUAACGAAAGUAAAUGCAGUUUAAUCUGCUGACUUGGGAUGCGUUGUCUCUUGUGG